GGUGACACAGUGACAGAGUGCGGGAGGGGGUGACUAGUGACAGAGUGCGGGAGUGGGUGACUAGUGACAGAGGGAGGGAUGAGGUGACUAGUGAUCAUCACCCCCUCCCUCAUUCUGUCACUAGUCACACCCUCCCCUGUCACUAGUCACCCAUCCCUCACUCUGUCACUAGUCACCCAUUCCCUCCCUCACUCUGUCACUAAUCACUACCUCACUCUGUCACUAGUCACCCUCUCCCUCACUCUGUCACUAGUCACCCUCUCCCUCACU
Molecule: non-coding RNA, 270 nt
Organism: Pelobates cultripes (western spadefoot toad)
Lineage: Eukaryota; Metazoa; Chordata; Amphibia; Anura; Pelobatidae
Source: the annotation of a GenBank genome assembly